ACAUGCAAGUCGAGCGGUAGCACAGAGAGCUUGCUCUCGGGUGACGAGCGGCGGACGGGUGAGUAAUGUCUGGGAAACUGCCUGAUGGAGGGGGAUAACUACUGGAAACGGUAGCUAAUACCGCAUAACGUCGCAAGACCAAAGUGGGGGACCUUCGGGCCUCAUGCCAUCAGAUGUGCCCAGAUGGGAUUAGCUAGUAGGUGGGGUAACGGCUCACCUAGGCGACGAUCCCUAGCUGGUCUGAGAGGAUGACCAGCCACACUGGAACUGAGACACGGUCCAGACUCCUACGGGAGGCAGCAGUGGGGAAUAUUGCACAAUGGGCGCAAGCCUGAUGCAGCCAUGCCGCGUGUGUGAAGAAGGCCUUCGGGUUGUAAAGCACUUUCAGCGGGGAGGAAGGCGGUGAGGUUAAUAACCUCAUCGAUUGACGUUACCCGCAGAAGAAGCACCGGCUAACUCCGUGCCAGCAGCCGCGGUAAUACGGAGGGUGCAAGCGUUAAUCGGAAUUACUGGGCGUAAAGCGCACGCAGGCGGUCUGUCAAGUCGGAUGUGAAAUCCCCGGGCUCAACCUGGGAACUGCAUUCGAAACUGGCAGGCUAGAGUCUUGUAGAGGGGGGUAGAAUUCCAGGUGUAGCGGUGAAAUGCGUAGAGAUCUGGAGGAAUACCGGUGGCGAAGGCGGCCCCCUGGACAAAGACUGACGCUCAGGUGCGAAAGCGUGGGGAGCAAACAGGAUUAGAUACCCUGGUAGUCCACGCUGUAAACGAUGUCGAUUUGGAGGUUGUGCCCUUGAGGCGUGGCUUCCGGAGCUAACGCGUUAAAUCGACCGCCUGGGGAGUACGGCCGCAAGGUUAAAACUCAAAUGAAUUGACGGGGGCCCGCACAAGCGGUGGAGCAUGUGGUUUAAUUCGAUGCAACGCGAAGAACCUUACCUGGUCUUGACAUCCACAGAACUUUCCAGAGAUGGAUUGGUGCCUUCGGGAACUGUGAGACAGGUGCUGCAUGGCUGUCGUCAGCUCGUGUUGUGAAAUGUUGGGUUAAGUCCCGCAACGAGCGCAACCCUUAUCCUUUGUUGCCAGCGGUUAGGCCGGGAACUCAAAGGAGACUGCCAGUGAUAAACUGGAGGAAGGUGGGGAUGACGUCAAGUCAUCAUGGCCCUUACGACCAGGGCUACACACGUGCUACAAUGGCAUAUACAAAGAGAAGCGACCUCGCGAGAGCAAGCGGACCUCAUAAAGUAUGUCGUAGUCCGGAUUGGAGUCUGCAACUCGACUCCAUGAAGUCGGAAUCGCUAGUAAUCGUAGAUCAGAAUGCUACGGUGAAUACGUUCCCGGGCCUUGUACACACCGCCCGUCACACCAUGGGAGUGGGUUGCAAAAGAAGUAGGUAGCUUAACCUUCGGGAGGGCGCUUACCAC
Molecule: ribosomal RNA, 1415 nt
Filed under: Klebsiella pneumoniae
Lineage: Bacteria; Pseudomonadati; Pseudomonadota; Gammaproteobacteria; Enterobacterales; Enterobacteriaceae
Description: 16S ribosomal RNA
Rfam family: Bacterial small subunit ribosomal RNA
Source: RNAcentral